Molecule: ribosomal RNA, 497 nt
Filed under: uncultured bacterium
Lineage: Bacteria
Description: partial 16S ribosomal RNA
Rfam family: Bacterial small subunit ribosomal RNA
Source: RNAcentral
GAUGAACGCUGGCGGCGUGCCUAAUACAUGCAAGUCGAGCGAACAGAUGAGGAGCUUGCUCCUCUGACGUUAGCGGCGGACGGGUGAGUAACACGUGGCUAACCUACCUAUGAGACUGGGAUAACUUCGGGAACCCGGAGCUAAUACCGGAUAAUAUAUUGAACCGCAUGGUUCAUUAGUGAAAGACGGUUUUGCUGUCACUUAUAGAUGGAUCCGCGCCGCAUUAGCUAGUUGGUAAGGUAACGGCUUACCAAGGCAACGAUGCGUAGCCGACCUGAGAGGGUGAUCGGCCACACUGGAACUGAGACACGGUCCAGACUCCUACGGGAGGCAGCAGUAGGGAAUCUUCCGCAAUGGGCGAAAGCCUGACGGAGCAACGCCGCGUGAGUGAUGAAGGUCUUCGGAUCGUAAAACUCUGUUAUUAGGGAAGAACAAAUGUGUAAGUAACUAUGCACGUCUUGACGGUACCUAAACAGAAAGCCACGGCUAACUACGUG